GCAAGUCGAACGAGAACGGCUCUAGCUUGCUAGAGUGUCAGCUAAGUGGCGCACGGGUGAGUAAUGCAUAGGUGUACGUGCCCCAUAGCCUGGGAUAACAACUGGAAACGGUUGCUAAUACCGGAUACUCCCUUCGGGGGAAAGAUUUAUCACUAUGGGAUCGGCCUAUGUCCUAUCAGCUAGUUGGUGAGGUAAUGGCUCACCAAGGCGAUGACGGGUAGCUGGUUUGAGAGGAUGAUC
This 240-nucleotide ribosomal RNA is filed under the name uncultured bacterium. RNAcentral's name for it is "partial 16S ribosomal RNA". It matches the Rfam family "Bacterial small subunit ribosomal RNA", at positions 57 to 305 of the family's 1533-position model. The record is from RNAcentral.